AGCGCGCGCAGGCGGAUCAGCAAGUCAGGUGUGAAAUCUCGGGGCUCAACCCCGAAACUGCGCCUGAAACUGCUAGUCUAGAAUGUCGGAGGGGGCAGGGAGAAUUUCACGUGUAGGGGUAAAAUCCGUAGAGAUGUGAAGGAACACCGGAGGCGAAGGCGCCUGCCUGGACGACUAUUGACGCUGAGGCGCGAAAGCGUGGGGAGCAAACAGGAUUAGAUACCCUGGUAGUCCACGCCGUAAACGAUGAACACUAGUUAUUGGAGGUAUUGACUCCUUCAGUGACGCAGCUAACGCAUUAAGUGUUUCCGCCUGGGGAGUACGGCCGCAAGGCUAAAACUCAAAACAAUUGACGGGGGCCCGCACAAGCGGUGGAUUAUGUGGUUUAAUUCGAAGCAACGCGCAGAACCUUACCUAGGCUUGAACUCCACAGAAUUCGGGGUAAUGCCUGAAGUGCCCGCAAGGGAAUUGUGAGAGAGGUGCUGCAUGGCUGUCGUCAGCUCGUGUUGUGAAAUGUUGGGUUAAGUCUCGCAACGAGCGCAACCCCUAUCGUCUGUUGCCAGCAUUAAGUUGGGCACUCUGGCGAGACUGCCUGGGUUAACCAGGAGGAAGGUGGGGAUGACGUCAAGUCCUCAUGGCCCUUAUGUCUAGGGCUACACACGUAAUACAAUGGCAUGUACAGAGGGAAGCGAACUCGCGAGGGGGAGCAAAUCUCAAAAAGCAUGUCUCAGUCCGGAUUGGAGUCUGCAACUCGACUCCAUGAAGUUGGAAUCGCUAGUAAUCG
RNAcentral lists this ribosomal RNA (784 nucleotides) under uncultured bacterium. RNAcentral's name for it is "bacterial SSU rRNA". It matches the Rfam family "Bacterial small subunit ribosomal RNA", at positions 564 to 1344 of the family's 1533-position model. The record is from RNAcentral.